GGUUGAUCGAGAUUUUGCUAUUGGUCUGCUCUCCGGAGACUCAAGCUUGUUAGAAGAAGGGGGCACGAUGUUCACCUUCGAAGGAUAAAAGCUCUCUUAAAGUUUCUCUUAGAGUUCAUAGUCCGCGGUUUUACUGGAAGGUUGCAACUCAAGGUGACUUAGGCCUUGCCGAUGCUUUUAUUCAAGGGGAUUUUUCUUUUGUUGAUAAGAAUGAAGGUCUUCUUAAUCUUUUCAUGAUUUUCGUUAACAACAGAGAUUUGAAAGCAUUAGUGACAAGGUCUAGUAAGAAAAGGUAAGUAGUUUAUAGAAACUG
This is a non-coding RNA of Nicotiana tabacum (common tobacco), 313 nucleotides long. Lineage: Eukaryota; Viridiplantae; Streptophyta; Magnoliopsida; Solanales; Solanaceae. The record is from RefSeq and is a predicted model, not a curated record.